GGCGGUUCUUGGGUGAUGCACCCUGGAAUCAGGCUCCCUGCUCUCUGGUUUUGGGUGCAUCACCCAAGAACUGCA
Non-coding RNA from Myotis brandtii (Brandt's bat), 75 nucleotides. The record is from Rfam. Lineage: Eukaryota; Metazoa; Chordata; Mammalia; Chiroptera; Vespertilionidae.